Molecule: ribosomal RNA, 253 nt
Filed under: uncultured bacterium
Lineage: Bacteria
Description: partial 16S ribosomal RNA
Rfam family: Bacterial small subunit ribosomal RNA
Source: RNAcentral
UACAGAUGUCUCAAGCGUUGUUCGGAUUCAUUGGGCGUAAAGGGUGCGUAGGCGGCGCGGUAAGUCGGGUGUGAAAUCUCGGGGCUUAACUCCGAAACUGCAUUCGAUACUGCCGUGCUUGAGGACUGGAGAGGAGACUGGAAUUUACGGUGUAGCGGUGAAACGCGUAGAUAUCGUAAGGAAGACCAGUGGCGAAGGCGGGUCUCUGGACAGUUCCUGACGCUGAGGCACGAAGGUCAGGGGAGCAAACGGG